UGGGGAAUAUUGGACAAUGGGGGGAACCCUGAUCCAGCCAUGCCGCGUGUGUGAAGAAGGCCUUUUGGUUGUAAAGCACUUUAAGCGAGGAGGAGGCUACUCUAGUUAAUACCUAGGGAUAGUGGACGUUACUCGCAGAAUAAGCACCGGCUAACUCUGUGCCAGCAGCCGCGGUAAUACAGAGGGUGCAAGCGUUAAUCGGAUUUACUGGGCGUAAAGCGCGCGUAGGUGGCCAAUUAAGUCAAAUGUGAAAUCCCCGAGCUUAACUUGGGAAUUGCAUUCGAUACUGGUUGGCUAGAGUAUGGGAGAGGAUGGUAGAAUUCCAGGUGUAGCGGUGAAAUGCGUAGAGAUCUGGAGGAAUACCGAUGGCGAAGGCAGCCAUCUGGCCUAAUACUGACACUGAGGUGCGAAAGCAUGGGGAGCAAACAGG
Molecule: ribosomal RNA, 430 nt
Filed under: uncultured bacterium
Lineage: Bacteria
Also listed under: 2 other names
Description: bacterial SSU rRNA
Rfam family: Bacterial small subunit ribosomal RNA
Source: RNAcentral